CUUUUACCCAGAUUCCGAUUACACAGAUGGCGCUAUUACCCAGAUCCCUUUGACACAUAUCCCGAUUACGCAGAUUGUGAUUAAACAGAUUUUCUAUUACACAGAUUACUUAUUACUCAGAUAACCGAUUACACAGAAAAUCUUUAACGCAGAUCCCGAUGACGCAGAUAAUUUAAAUUUUUAAAUGAUAAAUGCCAUAAUAAAGCCAAGCACUAAAAGUGCCUGAAAUUUUUAAAUUGCCGCCAUCAAAACAUGCCGGAUGAGCAUGUAAUCUAGCUAUUGGUUGAAUUUAAGGUUCAAGGUGUGCACGGAGCGCUUUAUUGAAGUAUCUACAGUGUAUAUGUGUAAAAUCCCGCGUUGGUUGAAUUUUUUAUUAGAUACUUGAUAUAAUGAAUCAACAAAAUUACAGGUUAAAGAUUAGAGCUAUAUAGGGAGCCCUGAAAUGGAGAGCAUGUUAAUGUGGAUCCGAUUUGUGGAUUAUGAGCAGUAUUUUAAAACAAGACGGUGGUCUGAUGUCGACUUUCCCCGUAAAUCCCUCUGGAAG
Long non-coding RNA from Cotesia glomerata, 544 nucleotides. RefSeq lists it as uncharacterized. The transcript has 2 exons. NCBI's taxonomy places the organism in Eukaryota, Metazoa, Arthropoda, Insecta, Hymenoptera, Braconidae. The record is from RefSeq and is a predicted model, not a curated record.